This 70-nucleotide transfer RNA is filed under the name Rusicada privata. RNAcentral describes it as "tRNA-Phe". The record is from RNAcentral. Lineage: Eukaryota; Metazoa; Arthropoda; Insecta; Lepidoptera; Erebidae.
AUUUAAAUAGCUUAUAUAUGUAGAGCAUAAUAUUGAAGAUAUUAAGGAAAUAUAGAAUUAUUUUUAAAUA